This 389-nucleotide ribosomal RNA is filed under the name uncultured bacterium. Its description in RNAcentral is "bacterial SSU rRNA". It matches the Rfam family "Bacterial small subunit ribosomal RNA", at positions 28 to 417 of the family's 1533-position model. The record is from RNAcentral.
GACGAACGCUGGCGGCGUGCUUAACACAUGCAAGUCGAGCGGUAAGGCCCUUUCGGGGUACGACGAGCGGCGAACGGGUGAGUAACACGUGGGUGACCUGCCCUCAGCUCUGGGAUAAGCCUGGGAAACCGGGUCUAAUACCGGAUAUGACUCCAUGACGCAUGUUGUGGGGUGGAAAGCCUUGUGCGGCUGAGGAUGGGCCCGCGGCCUAUCAGCUUGUUGGUGGGGUGAUGGCCUACCAAGGCGACGACGGGUAGCCGGCCUGAGAGGGCGACCGGCCACACUGGGGACUGAGACACGGCCCAGACUCCUACGGGAGGCAGCAGUGGGGAAUCUUGCGCAAUGGGCGAAAGCCUGACGCAGCGACGCCGCGUGAGGGAUGACGGCCU